UAAUUAUCGUCUUUUCAAAUCCACCGUCCAGUCAUAAUGAUAACAGGUUACCAAUUUAAUGCUUUGUCUCUGCUAUCCUUUAAUGAAAACCUUUCCCUUUCUUCAAUCCGAAGGAUUUGGCCAGAGAUUUCCUACCGUUCUCCGAACCACUUUUGGGACUUCCUUCUCCAGGUAAAAACUUUCUCUUCUUCUAAGAGCCUCAUUUGCUAUAGUAUGGGCAUAAAUAUUCUGUGCUUUAGGGACGAAAGUAAACUCAAUCUCCUGGAACCUGUUUUUUAGACUUUGGAUAUCUGUGAUAAUUGCUCCAAUGACUGAUUUAUCCGUGAAGAAGCUUUGACAUUUCUUGAUAACAGUUUUGGAAUCUCCUAAAACUGUUAAUUUAUUGACUCCCAGUCUAAUCCCUAAUUUUAUUGCCUGUAACCCUGCAUAUGCCUCUGCUGUGAAUGGAUCUGCAAUGUUGGAGUGAAUGACUGCCUGUGAUGCAAGAAUCUCUCUAUUCUCGUUCCGUACUAUUAUACCUGAAGCCGAUCUGAACUCCAGACGAUCGUAAGCUGCAUCAAAAUGAAUGAAGGUCCAUCCCCUUUUGUGUAUCUGUUGGAGAUUGUCAGAUGAAUGGAGAGUAAGAUUUCUUACUUUUGUUACUGCAAGUUCUGUAAUAUAGACUCUGAUUUUCCUCGCUAUUUCUGAUCCUGACAUGAGUCUUUUUUCAUAUACGAGAUGAUUUCUACUAAACCAGAUGAACUAAAGGCUACAACAGAAAAGUUGAAGCUGCUCUUCAUUACCUCGAUCAAAAACCCAGGUAAGCCAUCCUCACAUGUUAUUUAUACUCUGAUUCAGCACCCACGAUAAAUUUAACUGAUUCCAAACUUUCAUUGAUCUAGGGUACUGAAUAAAAAUAUGCCAGCUAUUUUCUUCGGCACAACCGCACCUGGGACAAAGAGUGUUCAUCACUACCCUCUUUAUUUUAAGGUUGACAAAGGAAGGGAUAAAAUCCCAAGAAAUCCUCCAAAUUGUCAUCUGAAUCUUUGAAGGGAUAUGUAACUUCCAUAAUUUGUUGUAGAAAUUUUUUGUCUCGGUAUGUAAUAAUAAAUCAUUAGGGUCCAGAUUAGAACCAUGUAAUAGUUUAUAGGCACUCCUCACCGAGAACUCCCCUGUCGGUUCUCCUCUCCAUACUUGAAGAUUUUCUUGUUCUGUCUCCGCAAGAGGGAUUUGUAAUAUUUGCUCUGCAACAUCUGGUUGAAAGGUAUUUCUUAUCAGUUCUGUUUUCCAGCUCCUGCUAUUUGGCUCAAUUAAAUCCAAGACUAAUUUAACAUUUUCAUUGUCUUCUUGAAUCGUGAUUCUGUCAGCUUCGAUCCCCGGUAUCCAUGAAUCUCCCUAUAUGGAAAUUUGAUCACCUCUCCCCACCCUCCAACAGCGUUCAUUAUCAAGAAGUCCUCUCGCAACCCAUAUACUUUUCCAGGUAAAUGAAGGUAAAUUCCCCAACUGAGCUUUGUAGAAAUCUGAAUUGGGAAAAUAUUUUUCUUUCAAAACACGGGCCAAUAAUGAACUUAGAUAAUUAAUAAGACGCCAUCGCUGCUUCGCUAAUAAUGCAACGUUAAAUUUAGCAAAAUCAUGAAAAUCGAGACCCCCAUAUUCUUUUAAUAGACAUAUAUCCUUUCAAGCGCACCAGUGGAUACCUUUUUUAUUAAAUCUCUUUUGCCUCAAGAAGUUGGCUAUUAUUCUAUCCAAAUCUGUACAAAGUGUCUUAGGGAGUAGAACACAACCAUCGAGUAUGUUGGAAUAGCUUGGAGAACUGCCUUAAUAAACACUUCCUUUCCUCAUUGUGAGAGAUACCUAAUACUCCAACUGUUGAUUUUUUGCUUGAGUUUGUCCUUCAAAUUUUGAAAAGAUAAUCUCUUUCUUUUCCCCACCAUACUAGGAAGUCCUAGAUAUCGCUCAAAAUCAUUAGCUCUUCUGACUCCAAGGAUCUGUGAAACAACACUCCUUUCACUCUCUUUUGUAUUAGUACUGAAGAAAACAGUCGAUUUUUCAAAAUUCACAUAUUGCCCAGAACUUGUCUCGUAUUCUUGUAGUAUCUAUUUUAAUGAAUGUGCUCUCCUAUCCGUAGCUUCUGCAAAUAAAAUACAAUAAUCUGCAAAUAGUAAAUGGGAGAUAGCUGGCCCUCUUCGACUUGCUUUAACACAUUUAAAAACAUUAUCCUCUUUUGCUAACCUCAUUUAAAACAAUAUUUGUUUUAUUAAUUGAAUGUAACUCCAUACCUUUGUUUAAUCUUUGGAGACAAAAAAUUGGAGACGUCAUCCCCAACAAUUAACCAACACUUUUGAUAGAAUAAGGCUGGGAAACCAUCCUCUCUCGGUGCUUUUGUAUGACCCAUUCCUGAAAGAGCUUCCCGAAUUUCCUCCUUUGUGAACCUUGCCUUCAGUUUAAUGUUAUCUUCCUCAGAAAUACACCUUCUAAUACCUGUCAAGAUAUUCUCAAAGUUAUUUUGCCCUCCUGUUGAAAACAAAUGUAAAAAGUACGAUCUCCAUAUCCUUCUAUUCAUCCGUCUCCCUGCCGUCUUCACCCAGCAGCUUGUGGAUUCUAUUUUGCUUCCUUCGUUGCGAUUCUUGUUUAUGAAAAAAAGUUGUAUUUCUGUCUCCCAUUUUCAACCAAUUAAUUCUGGCCCUCUGCUCCCAAUAGCUUUCAUCCUUCUCAAUUUCUAAAUUCAGAUGGAUUUUUGUGUCAAUAAUCUCUGCCAAGUUCUCCUCACUUCUAUCCGCUUCAAGCAACAUUUCUAAUUUUGACAAUAAGACCUCCUUUUUCAUCCUUUUAUUCUGUUGGAACCGGACACUCCACCUUUGUAACCCUCGUUUUAAAUUUUCUAGCUUCUUCACAAGGUCUCCUAUUGAGUUUUCCCAAAUACUUUUAGUCUCAUCCAAAAAUGUCUCUUCCAAAAUCCACCAUGCUUCAAACCUGAACAUCUGAUCUGCUAUCCUUUUAACUCUGUGAUCCGUAUCAAUAAGAAGUAGACAAUGGUCUGAGAAUGAAUGUGGGAGGUGUUGAAUUAGAAAAUUUGGAAAUAAGUCACUCCAUCGUUCUGUUGCCACUCCUUUAUCUAAUCUUUCUUGGAUAUUAGUUUCUGGCAGAUUUCUCCUCUCCCACGUAAACCUCUUACCUGAAUAACCCAAAUCCACUAAACAACAAUAUUCCAAAGCCUUCUGAAAUGCUUCCAUCCUUCUCUUUUCUCUAGGCAAACCACCUUUCUUCUCAAAACCAUAUAAGAUUUCAUUAAAAUCCCCACAAACCAGCCAUAAGUCAUCUCCCUGGUUUCUUAAUUGUCGCAACAAGUUCCAUGAUUCCUCCCUAUCAUAUGAAUAAGGGGAACCAUAAAAACCUGUAAAUCUCCACUUUUCUCCACCUCCUUCUUCCUCAAUGAUCACAUCAAUAUGUCUACUUGAAAAAAUCUGUAGUGCAAUACUAGCAUUCCCUCUCCAUGCUAAACAAAGUCCUCCUCUAGAUCCAAUCGAAUCCACAUCAAUUCCAAAGUGAAAUCCACAACUUCUUUGAAUUUUUUCCAUUUUUUUUGUUUAUUUUUGUCUCCAUUAAGAAGAUCACUUGGGGAUAAUGUUUCUUCAGCGAAUGCCGAAGUCGAUGAACUGUCCGAGGAUUCCCCAAACCUCGGAUAUUCCAACUUAAUAUUUUCAUUGCGAUCGGUCAGCUUGCCUCUUAGCAUCCGCCGAUAAUAAAUGAUUGGAUCCCUGUACUUUCCUAUCUCUCCCUUCCAUCUCCCUACUAUCCUUAAUAUCCUUUCUCCCUCUCUUUUUUCCCUCUUCUCUUAUAAUCAUCUCAUUCUCCAACUCCUGUUCUAUAGCCAUUUGACUAUAAUCAUUUAAAGGUCUAACCCUUUCUAUUUGUGAGGAGAACCCAUUACCUUCCAAAUUAAAUCCUAAAAUAGGAUCAACACUUCCCCUAAAAUUUCCUACGCUUCCCCUUUCAUUAUUUCCUCCGCUUAUUCCUCCCCCAGAACCUCCUUCCUCCCUUAACCAUACACUCUUUAUUGCUUGGGCUCUCCUUGAUUGUGCACGCAAAGAUAAAUCCCAUCCCAUCAUAUCAACUUCAACCCCUGCCUCUAUUUUUGCUUCACAAAAGGAGUCAUUAUGUCCAAGACGGCCAUAGUAGAAGCAAAAAAGAGUCAAUCUUUCGUACUUAAAUCUAACAUAAGAGCACUUGUUAUUAAACAUAACCUGCUUUUUCCUUUUGAGAGGGCACCGAAUGUCAACUUGAAUUCUUAUCCUCAUGAAAUUCAUAUUUUCUUUCCCCAAACUAGAUCCAUCGUAUUCUUGAAAAAUUCCAAUAAAAUUCCCUAACUGCAUCGUUAAAUUAUCAGAGUAAAACCCAAUGGGCAUAUCAUGUAUUUGAACCCAAAACGGUGAUGAGAUUAAAGGAACUUUUAGUGGAUCUUCCCCCCUUGCAACUUGUGUAAAAUUAGUAGAUGAUUAUUGAAUGUCCAAGGAUCCCCUUUAAUAACUCUUUCCAUAUCAAUAACAUGGAAAAAAUUAAACAAGUACCUUUUUUCCCCCAUAUCUGUAAUUUGAACACCCUUGACCGGAUGCCAUAGAUUAGCCAUGGUACUUUUCAUUGCUGGAUAAUGGAUGAUACUGGCUGUAAGAAAACAACGAACCAGACUAAGAGAUUCUUCAUUAUUAACUAAAUCUGAGUCAUUUUGUGCUUGCAGGAUCUCUUCUUCAUCAUCAUCAAGAGAUAAACCCGCAAAUUCUGAUUCCAUGGAUGCUGUACUCGAAUCCUCCGUUAAAGAAAUCACUUCAAAUCAAUGGAGAUGAAUGCCGCCAAAACAAGAAAACACAAGAAAAAAACUUGCCAGAGAAGCAGACAGAGACGUGCUAGGGUAGCAGACUAUGGAAUAAGUUUUAACUAAUUUUUAAAAGUAAUAAAUACUAAUUAAAUAAAUCUAACAUCAUAAUAGUAAAACAACAUAUAUUAGAUAUUAAAAUCACUAUAAACAUAAUUCUUUAUAAAUCAAUGAAAAAAUUAUAAAUGAUAAAAUAAUUGAUUCGGAUGCAAAGUAUUUUUCUUUCUCAUGUCAUUAUUAUUACCACGAUGCCA
Molecule: long non-coding RNA, 5103 nt
Filed under: Gossypium barbadense (sea-island cotton)
Lineage: Eukaryota; Viridiplantae; Streptophyta; Magnoliopsida; Malvales; Malvaceae
Description: long non-coding RNA (GBAR_LNC014693)
Source: RNAcentral